Molecule: long non-coding RNA, 24945 nt
Filed under: Nicotiana benthamiana
Lineage: Eukaryota; Viridiplantae; Streptophyta; Magnoliopsida; Solanales; Solanaceae
Description: long non-coding RNA (NBEN_LNC020400)
Source: RNAcentral
UCCAAACGACCCACCCCCUGAAUUCGUUUCCCCCUUACACCCCACCCCAAAUUGCCGGACUUCAAACCACCUCACACACCUCUUUCACAUAAAACAGCUGCGACACUCCUUCUGUCCAGAUCGAGCACAUCCCUCUCACCCAUCGUCCCUACCGCUAGAAUAGAGAAACACUCACGCACAGAGAGAUAGCGAGAGAGAGAGAGAGAGAGAGGGAGAGAGAGAGAGAGAUUGAUCAGAAAAAUUCAAAAAGAAAAGAAAGAAAAAGCAAGUUCCGUUUAUUAUCUGUGGACUUUGUUCGAAAUGAAUUCAAAUAUGUUGGACGAUUGAGUUGAGGUGCUGUUCAAGUUGGGUUCAUUCGAGUUUCUAUCGAGGUACUGUCUGUUGAUUUUUCGAUUCGAUUUUUGCUGAUUUCAUUUGACGCUGUCAAUUUCCGACUGUAAUUGUCGCUUCGUUUCAAUUCGUGUAGUUGCUGCAUUUCAAUUAAUCGGAAAGUUAAUUUUAGGUUACUUCUAAUCUUUUUUAUUUCAUUUUGGAUCUGAACAUGAUUUGAGCUACCGUUUGUGGUUGUAACUGCUGCGCUGGUAUUUUAGGAGUGAGCUUACUUAAAAGUUGAUUUUGUGAUUGUUGGAAGUUUGAUUCUUGUUAUGACUCCACCUUUGUAACUGAUUGAAGUUUGUUUGUGACUAUUAUUUCUAUUCCUAUUACUCAAUUACGGUACACUCUAUUGUUUCUAUUCCUAUAACAUAUCCAAGAGGCCAGGCACCAAAAUCCACUAAAAAUAAAAUACAAUAACCAAUCUCUUUAUGCUUGAAUACUAGUUGAUUAUUGUUACAAAAGCUUAUGUCUAAUUCAAGCGACAAAAAUAGGGGCGAACGAACUUGAGAUUUUGAAUGAUGUCAUAUAACAUUUGUUUGGAUGUGCUGAUUUUGGUUCUGAAUUAUUCUGUUAAUGAGCCGUUUUGAUAAAUGUUUAAGCCAUAAAGGCCAUUCUGAAAUAAGGAAUGUGUAGCCUUGCAACUCAUUUGGGUCAGCUGCCAGCCCAAUGCCAAUUCAGCUGAACGCUUAGCUUCAAAAUAGUUUUUUAGUUAGUUCAAACAUUAGCCUAAAAUAAUUAGAAUUCCUUUAAGCCUUCCUUAGUUAAUUAGACUCUUAACAUUGGCUUGAGAUGUGCCAUAUUAACCAACCAACAAUUUAUGGCCCUCAAAACUAAAUUUAGAAACACUUUUAAUAGAAUAAUUCAAGUCGUGUCAUGCCAAACAAAAUCUCAAAAACUCAUGGCCUUCACUUAAUAAACUUUAAUCCUUUAGAAAUCGAGGUGUGCCAUUUAGUGAUUUUUUCAUGGCGCUCGCGAACUUGAAAACGCGUAGUUGCUUUAGGCGCGCAAUUUAAAUUAAUUUCCUUAAACUCGAGUGUGCAUGUCAUGUGACCCUAAUUCAACUUCAACAAUGUUAAAUAAAAUGUAUCGUGGACCGCGGGUGCAUUUCAUGUGGCAUGGUUCAAGAUGUGUUUUAGAUAAUGUUGAAUCUUCCUAAAAUUAAUUAAAAGCGGUUAAUAAGCGAAAAUAUACCAUAGGCUAAAACAUGUAUUAAAAUUAGAUAAUAGGCCAAUUAUAACAGUUGAGCGAUCAUGCUAGAACCACGGAACUCGGGGAUGCCUAAUACCUUCUCCCACAUUAACAAAAUUCCUUACCCGGAUUUCUGUAUUCACGGACUGUAAAACAAAGUCAAUAUUUCCUCGAUUCGGGAUUUAAACCGGUGACUUGGGACACCAUAUAUUAUCUCAAGUGGUGACUCUACACUUAAAAAAUAAUCUUGUUUCGAUUGACACUUUAAGUUGGAAAAAACUCCCUUAUAACCUUCCGGGGUAGGAAAAAGAAGGUGUGACAUGAAUAAUUAUUGGAUAUAAAAUAUUGAAUAAAUUAGAAAAUAAAUUGAUAAUAAUAUGGAAAAAUAUCAAUUACUAUAAAAGGUAAUUUCGAAGGUAUUUAUGUAAAUUUAAAAAUAGUUUGAGGAAAAUUUGAUAUCAACAUCCAGGAGGCGUUGGAGCCUCUUGGGUUCAUCCCCUUAGUAAAUGCUUCAUCUGCUCAUUCAUCUGGUACGGGCGACAGCAACAUCCUUUCUUUCUAAAACCUGGUCACGAAUUCCUGCAGCAAUUCAGACUCUCCUUGCAUAUUUUUGAAUAUGCCCGCUUUAGUGUAAGCAAGAUUUUUUUCGACCGGACUGACCUGGCAAAGAAGUAUCUUCCUAUAGAUAGCUUCUUGCUUAUAAAAGAUUUAUAAUGAGAAUUAGCUGAAGCUUAUUCGGGAUUGAUCUUUCUUAUCCGAGUCUAAUCAAUAUCUAUGCCAUUGUAGGUGUAACACCGGUAGUAGUGAUUGAAAGAGCUUAUGCGUCAUGAUCGCGAUUUUUGGGCUUGUACCUUCCCGUCCCCAGCAUGGGCCUUGAUGAAAAAGUCUGCGAGCAUCACAAAGGAAUCACUAAGUAUUCGGGUAAGAGUGAGUACCAUAUCUUGGCUCCUUCGCGAGAGUUUCUUUGAAUUUCUUCAGUAGGACUGGUUCAAUUUUGUGUAUAUCCAAAUCAUUUCCCUUCACCGUUAUUGUAUAGGUGGUGAUGUGCUUUUGAGGGUCUGAAGUCCCAUUAUAUUUUGGUACAUCUGGCAUUUUGAACCUCUUUGGAAUCAACACUUGUACCACGCUUGUUUUUAACGGCAUCUUGAUGUAUUUCUGUGAGUCUGGUCCCUUCAAAACUAGUCGUAGAUCUGGUAUUUGGUUCAUUCGGUAGUUUAUUCCCCUCAUAAACCGCAUGAGAUUAGUUUUGAAUUGAUCAUUAUUGUUUUUGUCACUAGAUCCUCUGCCUCCCCCCCCCCCUUCCCGGCCCCAUCGAAGUCGACCUCACCCCUCGGGUGUUGUUAUCAAAUCUUUAUGCUGUUUGAUUUACGGGAGCAUCAGGAGGAACUAGGCCUCUUUUAUUUGCGUUGUUGGAAGUACCCCAUAACGCUUAUCUCAAUUUCGUCAUGGCCUGGUCUUGCCGUGAGAAAUGUCCCAUGAUAGCUUUUUGUUAUUUAAUCAGGAUCCUCACUGUUUUUGCAACGUUCUCAUCCUCCACAUCAUUAGGAUUCGGUUCUUGUUAUGUAGCAUUGAUAUCGCCCGAUAUGAACCAGUUUUGCUACGUCCUCCUCAUUGCAAGUGUCACUGAUUAAGCCCUCGCAUUGAGGUAGGUUCUCUUGUGCCUCAACGUUGUGUGCAAUGUUGACAUCGUUAACUGUCAUUUUAUACGAUUUUUUCUAAAAACAAAAAAAUCAAAUAUAUUAAUAAUAGAUGCAAGGAUCAACUUAAUUACGCAACUUUUUAAGUCCCAUAGUGGGUGCGCCAAAUUGUUUACUGGUAAAAUAGUACAGUUGAAUUUAUAGCAUGGUUUAUAAACAAGUGAACUGAUUCAAUUCCAAAAUGAUAAAUAAAUCAAAUAAAAUGCAAGACUUAACAUUGAAAUCGAAAUAAAAUAGCAGCCAGCUUGAUUUUGGGAGCAAGGCUUCCGUAGGCAAUAAUAAGAAUAUCGCUAGCUAGACAGAAAAAAGUAUUAUUUAUCUUGGAAUAAUGUGUCGCCUAAGUUUGUCAGAAACUUCGUGUGUUACAAUGGUUGUUGAAGUCACCAAUAUAUGUGUGUGUUCAUUGGUUUAAGGUUCUGGAUACUUUCAGGAGGAUUAAAAAGAAAAAAGGAAAAGAAUUCAAAAUCUCCGUAUCUGGAUAUUUUAUUUUUCGAAUACUUGGCCUGUUGGAUUUUUCUGCGAUGAAAAUAUCCCUAGGAGCAUAUAAAAGAUGGCUCGCCCUAUUGAGUUUUGGGUUAAAUAUGAAAGUUCGAGAUAGUAUGCAUCCAAAAAUUAAAUUUCUUUACUUUGGAAAUGAGACGAGUGUGAUAUUCCUAUUGUUUAUUCAAUAUUUGUUGGUUAAUUUGUUCUAAACUAUUCAACCUGGUCUCAUAUAAUAGGACCAAACAAUCCUCAAACCUAGCCGACAUUCUUAAAGGCUUAAACGGUCUCUAUCUCAAGCAGUAACUUUUUUUCAAUUGAUUCCUCUAUAUAUUUUAUUAAUUAGUAACAAGUUAAUUUAUUGAGUUGCAUUCCGUGUAGCUUAUAAUCAACUUGUGAUUAGUUUAUCUGUUUAUGUGUCCGCUUGAUUGAUACUUAUAAGAAACAAAAAAAUAUCACAUUCUGACCGUUUUCAAAUUUGAUUAAUUAUUUGAAUUCAUCGUAGUUUAUUUGUUGAAGCAUUAUUAGUAAGUGUAUCACUUAUUGUCAAACGUUGUGAAAUAUGAAAUUUAUUAGAAAAUGUGUUUUUGAGUUUAAGUUUCUAUAUAUUACUAGUGAAAAAAAAUUCACUAUCAAACAACCUAAAUAUAAUUACAAAUAAUUAUCUAUAAUAAGUAAAAUUAAUAAUCCACUAUAUAUGAGGAUAAAAUUUUAUAGCAUGCUUAAAUACAUUUACCAUAUUAAUUAAAAUUUUAUAUUGUAACCAUAUGCAAAUUAAAUAUUGUUGCUCUCAAAGGCACACGCAGUAAUACGUACACGUACAAGUAAUAAAGUGAUAAAUCAAGAAUCAAAACCAUAAAGACUUGUAUUAACUUCCUAGCUACUAGUUUUACCAAAAUUAUUAUUCAGUCGAGUCAAUCAGAAUUCAAAAGUGUGAUUAUACUAAGCAAUAAUUUAACAAGUAACUAAUUAAUCGAGCAGCAAAAUAAUUAUUGUGCAUUCAGUAGAGAUAAAUAUUACAGGGUUGUGCUCGAUUCAGUAAUCCUAUUCUGUUCUAAUUAACUCUCCCUUUCAUAGAAUUCGCUCAUGGCUGCUAAUUAAUCGAAUAAUUGCUCUAGUAGUAUUCUCCCGAAUUACUACUCGCCUAUUCAAAAUAGAUUAAUGGAUAUAUUCCUAUGAAAUCAAUAUUUUAAGAAUGCAUUAAUAUUAUGAUAUUGAAUUGAGCAUGUUGACUAGGUUUAUUCCUUUCCUAACCACAAAUUCGUCUUCCACUCAGAGUUAAGAUCAUGCCCUCUUCAACUCUUCUCUAAUCUAGACGUAGCAAUCCAAAUCAUAGCAUAGAUAAUAAAAAGAACUUAACUGCUGGCCAGAAAAUUAAGCAAUUAAUUAUAAAAUUGAAGAAACAACCAUAUAUUAACAAAUAAUAAUCAAGGUCAAGUCAAUAUCAAACAACAAUAUUCAUGGCUAAAUCACAACCCUAGAACUUUGAGCUUUAUCCACUCAUGAUAAAACUAAAAUAAUUUUACAAGUGUUGAACAGUUGAGAAUACUAAAAAUGAUGAAGAAAAACUAAGAAUCUUUGCUUCCGAGUGUUCCGCGCAUGUAUUUUUCUCACAAAAUGACGUCUCCCCUCACAAAAUAGUUUAAGGCUUACUUUUAAAGGAGUUAUGGUGGGUAGGAUAAAUUUCCGUCACCAACACCCCGGGAUAGUGUGGGGCGCUUGCCCUGGCAUUGGAAAAUUAUAAGGUCUGCCUUGUGCACGACAUGUAGCGCCCCACGCUAGCCUGGACGCUACUUGUGGCAUUUUUCCCAUUUCGUUCCCUUUUUUUCUUCAAGUCAUGCACCUUCGUUCCACAUUGCCUCCGAAUGUUUCCUAUACAUAAAAAUAUCACGAAUUAGCACAAAUCAUUAUAUUACACAUUUAAAAUUUAUUAAUUAGCAUAAAUUUAUAUAUUACACAUCCAAAAUCUGUGAAAUAUGAGUAAAAUACGCUGCAAUUUACAUGUAAAUAUACAUACUCUAAGUCAAAUAUCAUAUACCUUACUAAAAGAUCAUGUGAACAUCUUGAUAAUUUUGUCCUUGAGCAUUCUUUUAUUUGAUAAAAAGAAAACAAAAGAAAAUACUCAUUUAAUUUUCCAUGGAUUAAAAAAGAGUAGAAAAUGUCAACCGGAUUAAAAAUCACUAAGACUCAUAACACCAAGAUUGCAAUUGUAACCUACUAAUCACUUAUUGUCCUAUUUUUUGUUUUAUAUUAUAUGAUAUUAGUUUCUAUUAAUACUUUUUUUAAAAAUAGUAAAGUAUAUUUUUACCUAACUAAAAUAAUGCGAUUAUAAACUUCUUAUUGAAAUAUCAUGUGUAAAACCACAAGCUUCGAGUAUUUUGCUUUACUACUGUAUUAUUGUAAAGAUAUUGUUGUGUCACGACCCUAGUUCAUCAAUUGUGAACAUGUCAAGCACCUAGUCUUCACGACUAGGUAAGUGUAACACAUUGCGGAAGUAACAACACUUACGAAAUUUAUAAUCGAAAAGCGAAAUUACAUGAAUAAUGUAUAUAGUUUCCGCCUGGCACAUACACUUUAGCACUUGACAUUCUGAAACUAUCCCAAACACAUGAAAACCCACAUGUAACACAAGCUAGAGUAUUACAUAAUACUGAUCUAAUCACCCGGAAAAGUCUAUAACAAGGAAGGACAGAAUAUCAUCUAAAUAACUAAAGGGGUAGAGUGAUAGGGAGACUCUCGGGUCUCCGUACGCGGCAGAUAUACCUCAAGUCUCCGAAAUGCUCCCUGCAGCUACUGAUAAUGCGCCUGCGUAGAGGUACCUGGAUUUGCACAUGAAAAACAAGCGCAGAAGAGGCGUGAGUACACCACAACGGUACUCAAUAAGUGCCAAGCCUAACAUCGGUUGGGUAGUGACGAGGAAAGAUCGAGGCCCUAUUAAGAUAAAAACAUAAUAAUCAAUAGAAUAAGGAAAGACCAUAUGGAUAUAAUCUACUGCGAGAAUCUAGCAAAGUAAUGAAUAAGACAGUAACCGAAAACUAACACAGUAAGUAAAUAGAAGUGCAAAUCACCACCGGAUAUCUAUCAUCGGGGAUCUCCUUGUAUCCUGAGGAUCUCUUGGUAUUCUCAUCAUAUACUCAAGGGAUCUUCUAGCAUCCCAAAGAUCUCCUAGUAUCCUCCAUUUUUACAUAAGGGAUCUCUUAGUAUCCCGAGGAUCUCUUAUUAUCCUUCAUUUUUACGCAAGGGAUAAGGUAUCCCAAGGAUAUCCUGGUAUCCUCCAUUUUACAAUCAUAUAUGCGUCAGGGAUCUCUUGGUAUCCCACUCUCUCAGUCAUAGAACCGUAGUCUCGGUACUCAAUAAGUGCAAAGCCUAACCUCGAUCGGGUUGUGACGAGGAAAGGUCGAGGCCCUACUGAGAUAAAAACAUAAUAAUCAAUAGAAUAAGGAAAGGCCAUAUGGGGAAUAAUCUACUGCAAGAAUCUAGUAAAAUAAUAAAUAAGACAUUAGCUGAGAGCUAACACAGUAAGUAAAUAGAAAUGCAAAUCACCACCAGAUAUCAAUCAUCGAGGAUCUCCUCGUAUCUCGAGGAUCUCCUGGUAUCCUCAUCAUAUACUUGAGGGAUCUCCUAGUAUCCUGAGGAUUUUUUAGUAUUCUCCAUUUUUACACAAGGGAUCUCCUAGUAUCCCGAGGAUCUCUUAGUAUCCUUCAUUUAUACACAAGGGUUCUCUUAGUAUCCCAAGGAUCUCCUAGUAUCCUCCAUUUUUUAAUCAUAACUGUGCCAUGGAUCUCUUGGUAUCCCGCACUCUCAGUCAUAGAACGAACCACAUACAAAGGGAGUUAUCGAAAUGCCAUCCCGUAGUCCCAAUUCGUAAUACCACAUAAUUAAAAUAAGAUGAAGUGCUAAGUAAGAACAAUUAACAAAAUUUCUAGUCUAGCAUGCUUCACGUAGGACAGGUAAUACAAUUUAAGCAAUUAAGCAAGUAAGUCAGCUAAACAUGCUUAUCCUAUGCUAACACAAGUUAAAUUACUUUUAGAAUAGGCAAAUUCCCAAGAAAACACAGUUAAAUAUUCUAAGUAAAACGGAUUUUCAACAACCAGUAUAAGUACGCUUGUCGCCUCAUGCACCGAGCAUCUAAAAUAACAAGUAAUAGAUCCUAAGGGGAGAGGUCUCCCACACAAAGUUAGACAAGCCACUUACCUCGAAUCGGUGCAAAAAUUAAUAAGGAAUGAUGCCCUUGCCACGAGUAUCCGACUCCGAAUGGCCCAAAUCUAUUCAAACCAAUUACAUUUUGUAAAUAACAUCACAAGUAACUAAUUUCACUAUUAAAAUUAAAGCUAAGGCGCGAAAAAUAGGUAAAAUAACCAAAACGCCCUUCAAGACAACGUCUUGGAAUAAAACAAAAUUUAAAUUUUCAGAAACCUCAUACUCUCACGGCUCUAACCAUAUCAAAAUCUCCCAAACAAGAGGUCAAUUGCCCCCUCAAAACUCAAUAAAUAAGCUAAUGCCUUUUCACCAAAAUUCUCCCAUUUUUUAUCCUUAAUUUGAAUUUAAAAGAUGGAUUUAACUACUAGAUGCUGGAAUAGAACUAGAAAGGAUCAUAGAAACGUUACCCAGUAAUAUCCUCUUCGAAAUCCUCUCAAAAUCGCCUUUAUCCAAGCUCCAAAUUGAAUUUUCCAACUUUUGAAAUUAAGUCUCGGAUAAACCCUUAUCAGAACGGUGAUUUCCGCUUUUGCGGUUCCACUUGAAGCGACUAGAGUCCGCUUCUGCGGACGAAUAAUAGCAUUUGCAGUUCCACUUAGGCGGAAAGGAGACCACUUCUGUGGUUUCCUGAGGAAUGGCUAAAAAAUGCUUCUGCAAAGAAAAUGCCGCUUAUGCGGAGCCACUUCUGUGGUUCCCAAGCCGUAGAAGCGGAAAUACCAAAAUAAUAAAAGUUCAGCUGCUGCACACUUUAGGAAACCAACCCAUUGGCCAUCCGAAACCAACCUGAGGCCCCGCGUGUUCAACCAAAAACACCAAUACCAUCUAAUGCCUCAUUUUUACUUGCACAAAUCCUUAAAACAUCUAAAACGACACCGGAAACCCGAUUAAAUCAAGAUUCAAUCCUAAGAACUUCAAGUUCAUCCAUAAUACGCUUUCGAUCCAAAACCUAGCCAACACUCGUCCGAUUGACCUAAAAUUUUGCAUGCACAUCCCAAAUAACAUGACGGUGCUACAGCAACUUUGGGAAUCGCGUUCCAACCCUUGGAUCAUAAAUUCUCUGUCAGACGGGAAACCUCCAAAUUCAAACAUUUGGAAUUUCUAGCCUAAAUGAGUUACAGACAUCCAAAAUACAUUCCGAACAUGCAACCAACCCCGAAAUCACCUAACGGAACCAUCGUAUUUCCAUUCUAAGGCCGUCUUCAUUGUGUUCCAAUUAUGGACCACUUUCCAACACUUAAGCUCUCAUUUAGGGAUUAAGUGCCCCAAAACACUUCGGAUCCUAACACUGAACGCACUGGAAAACCAAAAUAGAGGAAAUAAACAUCAGUUAAUGAAGGAACAGGCAUAUAUUCCAAAGACAACCGGUUGGGUCGUCACAUGUUGGCCCAAGCUCAGUUGAUGUUUUGAAGAAUGACAAAUGAACUCAGUGAAGGACCAUGCCCAUCUUAUGAACACACUUGUUAUGGCUCGUGCACAUGAGAUGCACGUGAAGAAGAUAAGUCUUUGGGAUCAAGCAGCAAUAUUUUCUGAACUGAUCGAAAAUAUUUCAUAUUGGAUAAGGAGAAGAAGUCUCCUUAUGAGAAAAGAACACAUCCGGAUAAGGGUUGGAGUUUGUAUUGGUCUAGUACUCAAACUCAAUAGAGGAUCAGAAAUUUAGUCACAAUCAAACUCUGAUUACUAACCUAAUAAAUAACUGAGUUGCUCUCUUUUACAGGUAUGCAGAUACGCAGAAGUUUAGCUAAAUUGAGGGCAAAAGAGCAACGAAAUUUUGCAAAUAAUUUAUGUGAGAUCAAGUGUGCACUCAUGCAGCUACUUGAACGAGAUAAAAGAACCACUUGCAUUGUGUUUAUUCUUAUUCUAGUUCAAUUAUAGUAGGUGAUUAAAACUUUUACCUUUCCAGCUUUCAUAGAAGCAAUUGUAUUAGGUACUUAUAGUAAUCAAGUUAGAGUUAACUUGAAGGUGUCAUAAUAGUUGAGGUUGUGAGCCACACUAGGAUUUGAGAUAAUCCUUAGGUAUACAAGAGUUUUGUAAAUAUUUUUUUGGCUCAUAGAGUUUAGUGGAUGUAUGGGAAAAUCCUACUAAGUAGUAGGUCGUUGUUCUUUUAGAUUUUGAGCCGGGUGUUUUCCACGUAAAAAUCUUUGUGUUAUUUUAUUUCUGUAUUUUGAUUCCGCAAGCAGUAGUAGUUAGAACACCUAGAAGAACCAAGUUCUUCUGGAUCAAAAAUAGGGUACCACACAAAUUAACCCCCCCUUCCUCCUCUUGUGUGGUAUUUACUUUUUGAACAUCAAUUGGUAUCAGAGCAGUUUAUCCUUGAAGAGGCUAACACCUUAGAAAAAGAUCAACAUGAGUGUACCACCUGGGAAUUGGGAAGAGCAAUCCACUGCCAGGCUUCCACUGUUCAAUAGACAGUAUUACUCAUAGUGGAAGAACAAGAUGAAGGAUCACAUCAUAGGGAAGACUAUGAACUCUGGCACAUAGACACUGAUGGUUUGUUGGCAAGUACAAUGAAAAAUGUGGAAGGAGUGGAUGUGCCAAAGCCAAGGGCUGACUGCACUGCCGAAGGUUUGAAAAAGUGGGAGAAAAAUGCAAAGGCCAAGAAAUGGCUUGUAUGUGGACUGGGUCCAGAUGAGGAAAGCCGAAUCCAAAGUUGUACUACUGCAAAAGAGGUAUGGGACACUUUGCAAGUGGCUCAUGAAGUAACACCUCAAGUGAAGAGAUCCAGAGGAACACUGUUGUAUUCUCAAUAUGAGAAUUUCACUAUGAAAGAUGGAGAAACGAUUCAAGAGAUGUAUACUAGGUUCACUACAAUGACAAAUGAAUUUAAGUCUCUUGGAAGAGUUAUUAUUGAAGAAGAAAAGGUUGAUAAGAUCUUGACAAGAGUUUUUCCAGUUGCUUGGGAAAGCAAAAUCACUAUCAUUCAGGAGUCCAAGAAUAUAGCCACUCUCGGACUGGACGAACUGACUGGAAAUCUUACUACUUAUGAACUGAGAAGGCAAACGAGAAAGUUGGAUACACCAUAGAAGGAGAGAAUCUUAGCUCUCAAUUUUAUAGAAGGUUCAGAGCUGGAAGAUGAUGAGAUGGCUAUGAUCACUAGAGAUUUCAAAAAUUAUCUGAUGAGAGGAAACGGUUCAUCAAGAGGUACAAACUUCAACAUGACAAGAGCUCCUGAGAAUCAGACCAAUGAUGGUUGCUAUAAGUGUGGUAAGACUGACCACAUGAUCCAAAAUUGCCCUCAAUGGGAAAUUGAGUGGAAGAAAGAAAGGGUUGAACAAAAAAUAGGAAGAAGGAAUAGGUUCAACCCAAAAGAAAAAAAGUUUCAACCAAGGCUAUGGUUGCGGAUUGGGGUGAAACCUCUGAUGAAGACUCAGAAGAUGAAGCUGAAAAAGAGCAAGCUCUUAUGGCCAUUGCAAAAUUAGAUGAUGAGAAUAAGAUAAGUAUUCCGCAUCUCAAGGACAAAAUUAAGUUUCUAUCCAAAGAAAUGUUGGCUGAGCUAUUAUUAGAUUUCAUUGAUGAGUCUGAAAUAGUUAACAAUGAAAAGGAAGUUCUGUCUAGGGAAUGUGUUAUCCUAAAAGAAAAAUGCAAAAGAAUAGAAUCUAGGGCUGAUGAGAGUGAUAAUAAAAAUGCUGAAUUGAAGAACCAGGUUCUUGAACAUGACAAUAGUAUUCUAGAACUUAGGUAAGAAAAUCUAAAACUGAAAAUAGGAAUAGGAAAGAAGAAAGUUGAUCACUCAUUUCUCGCUCUAGAAGAAAAUCUAGAAAAAAUGAAAGAUGAACUGUACAAGAAAGAUGAACUGAUUAAGGUUAUAAAAGAAGAUCUUGGAAAGGUGAAACAUGAACUAGAUAGAACUUGCAAAUGGAACAAAGCUUCUAAUGCUCUCUCCUAGUUGCAAGAGCAUCACAGUAUCAAUAAAAGAGGAUUUAGUUAUGGGACUCAAGCUAACUUGCAAAUGAAAAAAAGCUUCUGAUGCUCUCUCCUGGUUGCAAGAGCAUCACAGUAGCAAUAAAAGAGGACUUGGUUAUAGGACUCAAUCUCCAAAAUAGGAUCCCAAACACAAGUACCUCACACUUCCUGAAAAUAAGAUCUGUACACAUUGUAGUAAAACUGGCCAUUAUAAAAAUGAAUGCAAUGCAAAAGAAAAUGUCAGUCAAAGGAACAAAGCUUUUGUUAAAGAAAAAUUCAAGCUGCUUGGAUGGGAAAGAAAGAAUCUGAUUCAUUGUUUUGCCCAUAGAAAGGGACCCAAACUAGUUUGAAUUUCUAAGACAAACCCUUGAUUUGUUUUUGCAGGUUCAAGUGAAAGGGAGUAGCCAAAUAUGGUACAUGGAUAGUGGCUGCUCAUAGCACAUGACUGGGAGCAAGGACCAUUUUCUUUCACUUGAGAACCUUAAAGGAGUUAAUGUCUCCUUUGGAAAUGGACAUAAAGGUGAGAUCAUUGGGGUUGGAAAGGUAGGUAAAACAAACUCUCGUUCCAUUGAGAAUAUCUACUUGAUAGAUGACUUGAAAUACAGCCUAAUCGGUGUGUCAUACCUGUGUGACAGAGGUUACCUUGUAGCUUUCACCUCUACCAAAUGCUUUGUGAUUAACCUAACCACUGACAAGAUUGUUUUGCAGGGAAAAGGAGUUAACAAUAUUUACAUUGUAGAUUGUCACCUCUUUCAGAAAAUAAAAUCACUUGUUUAACUGUGCUAGUUAAUGAUCCCCUUCUGUGAAACAAAAGACUUAGCCAUGAUAGUCUAAAUCAGCUAAACAAAUUAGUCAUCUAGGACUUGGUGAUAGAGUUACCUAUCAAGUUCAAGGAAGACAAAGUUUGUGAGGCGUGUGCAAGGGGGAAACAUGUAAGGUCAUUCUUCAAAUCCAAUAAAACUGUAAUUACGUCCAAGAUGUUGGAACUGGUUCAUAUGGAUAUUUGUGGUCCAAUGAGAACCAUGAGCAGAGGUGGAAAGAAUAUGUGAUGGUGCUUGUUAAUGAUUAUUCUACAUUUACAUGGGUACAAUUUCCGAUAUCUAAAUAUGAGGCAUUUGAAAUGUUUACUGCCUUUUUCAGAAAUCCAUUAGGUCUGGUCAUGGAACUGAAUUUGAAAAUAUAAAAUUUGCUGAAUAUUGUGAUGAAAAUGGUACAUGUCACAACUUCUCUGCCACUAGGAAUCCUCAGCAAAAUGGAAUAGUUGAAAGAAAGAACAGGACCCUUGAGGAAAUAGCAAGGGCCAUGCUUCUCUCUAGUAAAUUACCCCACAGCUUAUGGGGAGAGGCUGUAAACACUGCAUGCUACAUAAUCAAUAAAUUCAUGACUAGACCUCUUGUUGAUAAAACUCCCUAUGAGUUACUUAAAGGGAGAAAACCAAACAUAUCCCAUCUUAGGGCAUUUGGUUGCAGGUGCUAUAUGCAGAAUAAUGGAAAAGACUCCCUAGGUAAGCUUUAUCCCAGAAGUGAUGAGGGAGUAUUCUUGGGAUAUUCUUCACUUAGCAAAGCAUAUAAAAUAUUCAAUAAAAGAACUUUGUGUGUAGAAGAAAGUGUGCUUGUUGUAUUUGACGAAACUAACAUUCUUUCUGAGAGGCAGGAACAUGAAGAUGAAGCCAUUGGUCCGGUAGAAGAAUUGAAUUAAGUAGCAUCAAAAGAAGGAACAGGUAAUGGAACAGGUUCUUCAACUCAGGGCAACCUAACAGAGGGAACUAAUCAGGGAGAAAAUGAAACAAACUCUCUACAAGAACCUGUCCAUGAACAUGUUCCUCAGUAGCAGAAUAGAGGAGAAUUAUCUAGUAGAAAUCAGUUUGUGGUGAAAUCUCACAAGUAUCAAAGUUCACAUCCCAUUGAGAACAUCAUUACUGAACCAACAUCUAGAGUCAAAACUAAAUCGCAACUAAGGAAUCUGUGUGCAUUUGAUGCCUUUCUAUCUCUUAUUGAACCUAAAAAUAUUAUUGAGGCUUUGCAGGAUGCAGGUUGGGUCAAUGCUAUGCAGGAGGAACUGAAUCAAUAUGAAAGAAGUCAAGUUUGGCAUCUAGUUCCUAGACCCAAUGACAGAUCAGUCAUUGGUACAAAAUGGGUCUUCAGGAACAAACUUGAUGAAUAUGGAACUGUUACAAGAAACAAGGCAAGGCUGGUAGUUCAAGGGUACAACCAAGAGGAACGCAUUGACUAUGAUGACACCUUUGCUCAUGUUGCAAGACUAGAGGAAAUUAGACUCUUUAUUGCCUUUGCGGCAUAUAUGGAAUUCACUCUACAUCAGAUGGAUGUCAAAAGUUCUUUCCUAAAUGGCUACCUCAAAGAAGAAGUGUUUGUGAAACAACCUACGGGAUUUGAAAGCAAGGAAUGUCCUGAGCAUGUGUACAAGCUGGACAAGGCUCUAUAUGGGCUCAAACAGGACCCAAGAGCUUGGUAUGAAUGACUAUCAAAAUUCCUACUGGAGCAUGGAUACAAAAGAGAUAAAAUUGACAGCACUUUGUUCCUAAGGGAAAAAGGUAAAGACCUCCUUGAUGUGCAAAUAUAUGUUGAUGACAUAAUAUUUGAGGCCAUUACUGACAGGUUGAGUAAGGACUUUGCAAAAAUGAUGGGAAGUGAGUUCGAAAUGAGUGUGAUGGGUGAACUAAACUUCUUCCUAAUAAGUAAACAAAACCUUCUCUCUCUUAAAUCCUCUGCUUUCUCUCUAGGAAGAAGGGUGAAUAGUUAUUCAGUCACUAUUCAUCAGGCAUAAUUCCGUGAGUUAUCAUCACGAAAUUUGUCACACAACAAGCUCCUUCUUGUGGUGAUCAUCUCCUUUCAAUUUUAUCCCAAAACUCUAAACGAAAUGCAAUAGAUCUUGAAUUUAGUGAUCGAGCUCACUGUAGACUCGAAUUUCAGUCUGCAAUCUGUAUCGUUACUCCUUUGUGAUGUGAAUUUUAUGGAUUGUUGAUAGUUGAUAUAUUCGGAUAGAGAUUUGCUAUUUAAAGCAAUAACAGAUCGUAAAAAUUUAUUGAAGGUACUGUAGCAUCGAGAUUUAAAUAAACUUUUCAGCAUUUUUGUAGCAGUGUUAUAGCGUGGAUAUGGAGGAUCUUUUCUAAAGUAAAACGCUACCAUGGAUGCUACGUCCUCUCCCCAGCAUCUGGCUAUGAGAGAGGUUCAUAACCUUCUAAAAAAUGCUCCAAAAGAAAACACAAAUCGAUCGUAUGCUUCAACACUUCAAGCUAAACGGUUUGCUCCGUCAAAAAUAGAGCUGUGUCCAAUUUUAGUUAACCAUGGUGAACCUGUAAUUGAAUUCACUAAGGAAGAGGUUAACAACAUCAUUAGGGAAGAAGGAUUGCAUCAGGCAGUUUUUAUUAAAUUUUCUUAUGGCAGACAUGAUCUACCGGAAGUGCGAAGAAUAUUUUCGUCGCAAUUUGAUAUUCAAGGUCAAUGUAACAUUGGACAUUUGGAGUUUCGUCAUCGUUAAUCAGUUUUGAUCUCUACAAUGAUUAUGUUCAUUUCCUUUCAAAUUCGACUGGAUAUCUUAAAUCCAAAGGCGACGAAUAUUUCUUCAGAAUAUUCCCAUGGUCUUUUGAAUUCAAUCCGAAGGAGGAGACGUUGAUGGUAAUCGUGUGGAUUUCUCUUCCAGGUCGGCCACCAAAUGCUUUUGCUAAGAGGUCGUUAUUGUCUAUAGCCUCAGCUGUGGGAAAACCUCUGGCUGUGGACAANNNNNNNNNNNNNNNNNNNNNNNNNNNNNNNNNNNNNNNNNNNNNNNNNNNNNNNNNNNNNNNNNNNNNNNNNNNNNNNNNNNNNNNNNNNNNNNNNNNNNNNNNNNNNNNNNNNNNNNNNNNNNUAGCACGGCAAGAGUUAAGGUUAUAGUUGAUCUUUUGGAUAAACAUCCUAAAAAGGUCAAGCUACAGAUUUUAGAUAGAGUUUCAGGUAAAUCUGUCGAGAUUCAUCAAGAAAUAGUGUUCGACAACCUGCCUAAGUAUUGUGUUUAUUGCAAGCAUCAAGAUCACGAUGACAAGGCGUGUAGAAAAGAAAAAGCUGGAGAAGAGGUGGUGGCAGAGGCACAUUUGGAUAGUGUUCUGUCUGGUCACGAGGUCGAUGAUUUAGACAAAUUACAAGGGGAUGCAAGGGACUAUCUAAAUGCUAAAAGAUCUGGACAAGGAGCUAAGGAUUCACAAGAAAAAGAUGGUAAUUCAGGAGUUGAAUUAAGAAAAGUCUCACAGCAGACUGUACAAAGUGCAUAAGGAGUGACUGUGGAAAAUAAUGCAGGCGUGAAGGAUGUUGUUGCUCGAAUUGAUUCUGUUACACAAACUGGCAUGGUAAAGGAUGUUUUGGAAAAUAAUGCAAGCGUGAAGGAAGUUGUUGCUCGAAUUGAUUUUGUUACACAAACAGGUAUGGUAAAGGAAGUCACGAAAAUGACUGCUGAUUUGAAGCCGACACAACAUACUCUGAAUGAUAGGGGUGAUGCUGAUCAACAUGAAAUGGCUAGGAAUCUUGUGGUUACUGGUAUAUCUGAUGCACCACAUGCAGCAGCUCCAGUUGAGUGUAUGGAGGAGGUAAUGAAGUUGGAUAAAGGACCUCCUAUGCCUUCUAGAGAUGUACCUGCUUCUACUAUCUAUGCACGAUCAUAUGUGCCUACUGCUGGGGCAAUGCAGUGUACUACAGAUAGUAUUUCUUCUAGUGCACGGGCUGGGCAGAUGGUUGUUUUUUAGGGUGAGGCAUUAAAUCUAAAUUCAACAUCAGUUGUGGUUACAUCUGAGCAUACCAAAAUAGAUGAUAUUCACAAAGGACAGAAUCAAUGUUGCAAUGUGACGCAGAUAGGAAGUGAGGCCAUGGAGUACUUGGUUGAUACAGCUCAAUCAAAUGUUACACUUGCAGACACUCUCCCAAGGCCAAAGGGUAAUACUGCAGAUAUAUUUUUUCUAGUUCAAAGGCUGGGCAACUGCUUGUUUUUUAGGGUGAGGCAGUAAAGCUGAAUUCAACAUCAGUUUUGGUUAAUUCUGACUAUACCAACACAGAGGAUAUUCACAAAAGACAGAAUCAAUGCUACAAUGUGCCGCAGCUAGGAAGUGAGGCCAGAAUGCACUUUGCUGAUGCAGCUCAAUCAAAUGUUACACUUGCAGACACUCUCACAAGGCCAAAGGGUGAUUCUGCCCAGUUUUGUAAAAUGCAAUCUACUGUACCAUUGAAUUCGCCUUCUACGCUUGAAACUGAAAAGAUGGUAUCAAAUUUGCAACCUACUGAUCCAUCUAAUGUACCAGAAUCUGACAAUACAAAAAAACAUGAAGAGAUGCUGAUUGAGCAGUAGCAGAUAUUGCAGAAUACUAACAAUUAAAACACAAUACAGUUUAAUCAAGCAAAUGGUACUAAUUUGGAGGUUUCGGAUGCCGGUAUUGCAGAAUACUAACAAUAAAAACACAAUUCAGUUUAAUCAAGAAAAUGGUACUGAUUUAGAGGUUUCAUAUAGUUUCAGAUCUUAUAUAGAUCCUACUGGUUUAAUAGUUCAACCAGGGAAAAGUUAAUAGUAACAAAUUUACUUGAUGCUUCAAAGAAUCCUAGACAACUACAUUGUAAUGAACUGAAUAAAGCAGCAAUUUUGGUUACUUCUGAGCAUACCAGAAAAGAGGAAACUCGACAGCAUCUCAGCUGCAAUGUGCAGCAGCUGGCAGUAGGGGAGGACAAUGUACCAGCUAGUGCACAUCAAAUUCUCAAGAUAAAUAUGCAAAUAACAGCAAGUAUUACAGAUAAUGAGGUUGCGCAGAACACAUUUCAACUGGAUACCUCUAACCAGCCUGAUAUGUUUCAACAAGGCAGUAUGAUCUCUUUGAAACAAGAUACCUCAAAUCAGACUGAUAUAUUUCAACAAGGCAGUAUGACUUCUUUGAUAAACACAGCAGCUGCAGUUUCUAAUGAAGCCUUUCUUCAGCGUGGUUUUGAUUUACAUCCUCCUACUGCUACACAACAAACCAGUGAAGCUGCUCAACAGUCUAUAAAUAACUGGUCAUCUAUGUCCACCAGAAAAGCAACUUCAAAAACCAAAAUCAAAACACACAGCGCAGAUAAGAGUCCAGCUUUACAUACAAUUCCAAACUCAUUUGUUGCACUUACAAAUGUCAAUAAUGAGAAUGCAAUAUCGACUGGACAGAAUAUGCAGAAGGCCAAAAAUCAGUUUUCUCCAAUCAUACCUUCUUCCAGUACACAUGUGGAGACAACUAUCAAAGAUCAUGGAAAACCAUCAACCUCCAUUGGAAAUAACAAACCAAUAAUCCAAGUUAACAUGAGGGACAUGGUCAUUAAAUCCAAACUGUGGUAAUACCAAAGAGAUUUUGACGAUGACGAGGGCUGGGGAGAAGAGCUGGGUGGUUAUUCAUCUUCAGAAAACAUGAGGGACAUGGUCAUUAAAUUCAAACUGUGGAAAGACCAACGAGAUUUUGACAAUGACGAGGGCUGGGGAGAAGGGCUGGCUGUUUAUUCAUCUUCAGAAGACGACCAAGAGUUUGACGACGAGAGUGCAGGAGAGGACUUUGAUGAUCAAUUCAAGCCAAAAUUUCAAAGGAAAUCAGCGACAAUCAAUGGUCUUGCAAAUCUGAAACCUGCAGCAAACACAAACAGCAACUUGAACCAUAAUGCUCCAGUAUUUGUUCCACGAAAUUCUACAAAAUCAGGCGAAACAUCAGCUGCUGUUCACAACGCAACAUCACUGCCAACAUCUGCCCACAAUCAGGUUGUCCAAUAAAAUCAAUCACAACUUUGAAGGAGACAAAAAUGUCGGAUACAAUGAUGCAACCUUCCCAUAAACUACUGGAUGAGAGGGCAAAAAGACAGAUAUAUGAAUAAGGGGAGGAAGAGGAUAUAUUAAAGCAAUGCCAGGCAGAUGCGUCAAGAAAAGGUGAUCUGUCGCCUAUUCAUAGUAAAACAAGUAAGAAGUCUCGUGAAAGGGAUAGAAGUUGGGACGGCAGGAUGUUUGAAGACUUAAACAUAUGGAGACCUCAAAUGAGGAACGCAAAACAAAAACAAGUCACUCAAAAAAUUAUUACAAAGGCCAAUCGAUCGAGGAACAAAGCAUGAAUUUUUAAGUCAUAUUGAGAAAAAUUGUGGACGAAGACAUUAAUCUACAAAUUAAAAUUUUCACAAAAUUGGAGAAAAGUGAGCACCAAAAUGGUUUCUUCAACUUUUAAUUUUUCCAUCUCAUUAGUAGUUUUCAAUGUAAUAUCAUCACUGAGCAUGUUAUAAACUCGGGAUUAUCAUACUGUUCUUAAUUCUUUCUACUUCUUUCUUUUUACAUGCUUGUUAGUUCAUGAGGCUUUUAUUGGCCUCAAUAGGAUUAAUAAGGUAAGGUUUACGCCGGUUAUUGUUAUAUGGGUAACAAUACCGGUGCUAUACCCCCUUAUUUUAUUUUUCCUAUUUUUUGUAACUCUCUUUUUAAUUAUAUUAAUGAAAUCUAGACCUAGGCGAUUGCCUAGUGGAUUUCCAAAAAAAACUUCUUCCUAGGCUUACCGAUCAAAAAAAGCCCAAUUGGGACAAUGAUCUACCAGCAGAAUUAUACAAAGGAACUAAUCAAAAAGAUUAAAAUGGAGGAAUCCAACGAAAUAGAUACACCUAUUGCAACUGCCACUAAAUUAGAUGUUGAUGAUCCUAGUUCAUCACUUGAUCAAAAGUUGUAUAGGGGUAUGUUGGUUCACUAUUGUAUCUUAUUACCAGCAGACCUGACAUUGUUUUUAGUGUAGGGCUUUGUGCUCGUUUCCAGACAAAUCUAAAGGAGUCACACUUGAUUGUUGUCAAGAGGAUAUUGAGAUAUCUGAAAGGCACCACUGAUUUGUGUCUUUGGUAUCCCAAGGUAGUAAUUUUGAUCUAGUAGGAUAUGCUGAUGUUGAUUAUGUAGGUUUCUUAGUGGACAGGAAGAGCACUUCAGGUAUGGAAAAUUUGCUGGGGUCAUGUCUAGUGUCAUGGGCUACCAAAAAGCAAAGUUAAUUAGCCCUAUCUACUGCUAAAGCUGAAUAUGUUGUUCCUGCUUCUUGUUGUGCUCAAUUUCUAUGGAUCAAACAACAGCUGGUAGACUUUGGAAUUGAAGUGGGAUGUAUUCUGAUAACAGUAGUGCUAUAAGUAUGACAAAGAACCAUGUUCAUCAUAAACGACCGAUCACAUAGAUGUUUGACAACAAUAUUUUGUGAUAGCAAGUAUGACAAAGAACCCUAUUCAUCAUGAAAGGACCAAGCACAUAGAUGUUAGACACCACUUCUUAAGAGAUAACUAUGAGAAAGGUUAAUCUCAAUAGAAUUCUGUGCUACUGAUAAACAAAUAGUUGAUAUCUUCAAUAAAGCACUGAGUAGAGAAAACUUUGAAAGGAAAUGGUUGGAAUUAGGGAUGAUUAAUAUCACCUAAAAGGACCAGUUCAGAAUGCACAAUUAAAAAAUGAAAAAAAAUUGGUUAGGAGUUCUUAAUAUCAUGUAAAUAUCUAAACUAAUUCUUACUCAGUUUCAUACUUUAGUUAGUAUACGCUUGUGACUUGUGUUUAUAUGAUUCACUGAUCUAUUGCAAAGUUUUUCUAUUUUAACAUUUGCGGCAUGAUCAAGAGAAAUUUUACUUGAAGAACCUGGUUCAUCAGUAUAUGCUCAUGAGAAAGUUCAGGUAUAUUUCUAUACUUUGCACAAUUAGAAAGAUAAAUUUUUCAAUCGUGAGCAAAAGUCCUAAUUACACCAGACUUCCAGAAUUCCAUCCGUUGAGCAUUGAACCAAUUUCUAUGAGUAUAAUGAAAAUGGGGCUUUUCCUAAAAACCAGUGUCGCCCAUUAAUCACCAAGAGAUCGGAAUUCUGAUAUGAUUAGAAUUCUAAUUGACUGCUCAAAAAGCCUGUCGUUACUGCACUUAAUCAUAACCCAUCUUUAAAUACACACCACAUCUCUUCUUUUUGCUCAUAACUGUCAUUCACCAUCUCUAAAUUCUAAUCAUCUCCUUCAUCGCCAAAAUUUUCAAAACUCCCAAAAACAAUUUUCGGAAAUUCUCUACCAUGAGAAGCCCUCAAGACAACCCAGGUACUCCCCCGCCAGUAUCUCCUAAUACUUUAUCCUCCACACCUCAUGUUGAAACCCGAAAACCUAGCUUUUGUCGCCAGAAAAUGUUGGCUAGGAAAACUGUAGAUUUUGGCCCUUUGAGACAAGCCUUAAACGGAAAAGUGAAUGCUACCCAAAAGAAGGAAAGUCCAGCAAAAGAAUCUGACUCAAGCUCUGAUUCUGAGGCAUUUCUCUCUGCAAGUGAUGGUGAAGAACAUGGGUCUUCUGACAAUGAAAAGAAUCAAGAAAAUCCAAGUGAGGUAAAUACUUGUUUUGCUUUUUAUGAUGUGGUAGAAAGGGAGGAAAAUAGGUUUGUGUUGGUGGGUUCAGUGAAAAAUAUAGAGGGGACUGGGUCUAACAGAAAGGGAAAGAAAAAGAAAGGAGAAUUUCUUGCUAUCUGUGGUAGUGUAGAAGAGGGUGGCAUCAAGUCAGGGGGAAGUGGUUCUGGUGAGGCUAUUAAAGUCCUUGUUCAUCUGAGUGAGCAGAGACUUGAACCCGGUUCAUCCGUGGAGAACACCUUGGUUGAUAUCUUGAAGAAGGUUGGGGAUAGUUAUUAUCAAAAUAAGCACAAGGCUUCUUCCCAAAAGACCCCAAUCGCUUCCAAACCAUCUAAGAAAAGCAAGGUGUCAUCUUCCAAGUGUAUUGUUCCUUUUUUACCAAAAGGAAGAGCUACAAGGAGCAGGGUCAAGCAAAGCGAGGAAAAACUACAGAAAACUUUAGAGAAGAGUAAGAAAAAGAAGAGGGAAAAAGGAAAAGAAAAGGUUGUGGAAAGUUCUGAGUAUGCUGAAGAAGAGGAUGAGGAGAUAGAACUGGUCCAUCAAGAGAGAGGAAUAACUGUGGAGGUUCACAUUGUCAAACCAAAAAGAACCAAGACUUCUGCAAAGAUGUCUUCAAAAUCUGUAUUUGUUGAACCCUCCUUGGCCAAAAGAACUAGGUCUGCAGUGAAGGGAAAACAAGUAAAAGUUACUGAAGAAGAAGAAGAAGAAGAGUGGAGUGGAGAAGAAGAAGAGGAAGAGUCUGAAAAGGAAUAAUAUUGAUUUUCCAUCUUUGGCAGGAGAAAGAUUCUAAAGGGAAGGAUGCUGAAAGACCUGGAGGAACGAGGCAUGAUUAGCUUGGUGGAUGCUCUAGCUGUACAAGGUUGAAAGGACAUGGUCCUUCAACUGGAUGCAAGGCUGGCAAGAAAGGAGCUGAUCGAGUUCAUGGCAAAUGCCAUUGUGAAAAAUGGGGUAGUUACCAGUGUUGUUAGGGGAGUGAAGAUUUAAUUUGAUGCACCUAAAUUGGGGACAAUUUUGGACAUACCAUGUGAGGGAUAUGAUGAUUACACCAGGCAGAGGUGGCCUUGUCUAGAUGAUCUUCCUAGUGCUCUCCAGAUAACCGGGAACUUUUGUGACACUGAAUCUGCUGAAGAUGUGCCAGAGGCAAGAUUUCUACAGAAAAGUGAGAUGAAUCCUGAGCACAAGGUGCUAUUUGAAUUUGUGAACAACUGUCUGCUGCCCAUAUAGGAGAGGAGUCAUACUGCUAACUACAUGGACUUAGUUCUUCUGGAACGCCUUGUGAGAGGAAAGCACAUUAAUUGGCCUGCCUUCAUUGUCAAGCUGCUGGACAGGGUCAUAAAUGGCUCCAAAGCUCAUGCUAUUUCCAAUGGGUUCAUACUGACGACUGUGCUGGAUAGAUUAAAAGUUCCCUUGAAGAAAAGGGAGAUGGCUUCCAGCAAGGACCAUUUUGGGGUCAAAACCCUGUAGGCUUGUGAUUAUCUCCUCAGUGCAGCCCAGUUGAACCUGGUUCAUCAUUGAAGACUCAAGUGAACAGCAAGGUUAGGGCUUUGGUUCAAGAGUGUGAGACAAUGGAUUCUGGGAUUGUUAGGCUCAAGGCUCGAGUUGCUGAACUUAAAAAUGAGAGAAAUAACCUGAAAGAUGAGCUAGCAAAAGAAAAGGAAAAGGGUGAAGGGGUGCUUCAAACAAUGCUAAAUAUUCUCCAAUCCCGACCCUCUAAUUCCUCCAAGCCUUAGGUCCCCCAGCACUGUCCUUGAACCAGUCUAGUAGCCCCCCUAGUAACCCAGAUUAGGGAUUUUUCUUUGCUUGUUUUUUUGCUUAUGGCUAGUUGUUUUUCUUUCUUUUUUUGGAUUGGUUGUAGAAGUAUUCACUAUCAAUGACAAUAUAUUUUUCUCUUGUUUUGUGAUGAAUUUUUUCUCUAUAGUUAUGUUUUUAUCAAGUUUGAUUAUUGUUUCACUAAACCAGGCUUUCACAUGCAGUUUCCCUAAUGGCCAUGAGUAACUAUUACAAUCUGGGAUUCACAUUAUAUGCAACUUUUUAGUGAUGCCAAAAGGGGAAAGAGAUAUUAGGCAUUACUUUUAUUCUGAAAAAGUAAUAUUUAUAACCUGAUUAAAUAUGGUUCUUAAUGAUGAAUUAAACUAUCUUAUGUAAAAGUGUUGAUAAUUAGCUGAGUUUCACAUGUUCUCUAAUCAGUAAAAGCAUAGAGUUUGUCAACAUCAAAAAGGGAGAAUUUUUUGGCCCAAGCUCAGUUGAAGUUUUAAAGAAUGACAAAUGAACUCAGUGAAGGACCAGGUCCAUAUUAUGAGAUACACUUGUUAUUGCCUAUGCACAUGAGAUGCACGUGAAGAAGAUAAGCCUUUGGAAUCAAGCAGAAAUAUCUUCUGAAUAUCUUCUGAACUGAUCGAAAAGAUUGUGUAUGGGAUAAGGAGAAGAAGUCUCCGUAUGAGAAGAGAACACAUCCGGAUAAGGGUUGGAGUUUGGAUUGGUGUAUGACUCAAACUCAAUGGAGGAUUAGAAAUUGAGUCACAAUCAAACUCCGAUUACUAACCUAAUAUAUAAUUGAGUUGUUCUCUUUUACAGGUAUACAAAUACACAGAAGUUAAGCUAAAUUGAGAGAAAAAGAGCAAGGCAAUUUUGCAAGCAAUUUAUGUGAGAUCAAGUGUGCACUCUUGCAGAUACUUGAACAAGAUAGAAGAAACAGUUCCAUUGUGUUUAUUCUUAUUCUAGUUCAAUUGUAGUAGGUGAUUUAAAACUUUACCUUUCCAACUUUCAUAGAAGAAAUUGUAUUAGGUACUUUGAGUAUUCAAGUUAGAGUUAACUUGAAGGUGUCGCAACAGUUGAGGUUGUGUGCGAAACUGAGAUUAGAAUUACCCCUUUGGUUUACAAGAGUUUUGUAAAUGCUGUUUUGGCUCGUUAAGUUUAGUGGAUGUUUGAAACAAACCUACUGAGUAGUAGGUCGUGAUUUUUUCACCUUUUGAGCCAGAUGUUUUCCACGUAAAAAUCUCUGUGUUCUCUUAUUUUUGUAUUUUAAUUCCGCAAACAGUAGUAGUUAGUACACUUAGAAGAACAGGGUUCUUCUAGUUCAAAAAUUGGGUACCAUACAAAUUACUCCAUUCUUGUGUGAUAUUGAUGUUUGGAUUAUCAAAUACCUUAUUGGGAAUGAGAUUACCUUAGUUACCUAAAAAGAGAGUGAAUCAAUAGUUGACUUUUAUUAUUGUCAGCAUCUUUGUGUCCCCUUUUAAUUUUAAAUAUAUAUCUAAUGUUUAAUUAUUUGCCAUAUCAUUUUUGUGAAAUUCAAUUAGCUUCUUCUACACAUAUAUUUUUGUCAAAAUCUCAAGAUUUCAGUUCCUAACCUUAAAACAGUUGCUUGUUUAGCUUAAUCAAAUUGCAGAAAUUAAACAACAUGGGAAAAGACGUUGAAGAACGGGUAAGCCUAAAUGAAGAUUUCAAGGUAUGACAUGAACUCUUCUAUAUCUUCUGAGUUAUGAAUAUUUUGUACUAAUUAAUUCAAGAUUUAGUCUAAUGAGUUUCAAUUAAUAAAGCUUCUACUUCAUUAAUUGAUUUUGCUUUUUUCCUCUUAACUCUUCAUAUUUAGGAUGGUGAAGUCAUAGAAUCUUUGUUAUCCUCUUUACCAAGAUCACCAAUUAAUAGCAGACCAAAUAGCGUGAUGGCUAAGACAAUUUCAAUUUCUCUCUAUCUGUAUAUGUUAUCAUUAUGACAAUUGGGUUGCAAGUAUGGUUGAUGAAAUUGAAAUUAACUAGAAAAAUG